This 1268-nucleotide ribosomal RNA is filed under the name metagenome. RNAcentral describes it as "bacterial SSU rRNA". It matches the Rfam family "Bacterial small subunit ribosomal RNA", at positions 8 to 1324 of the family's 1533-position model. The record is from RNAcentral.
AGAGUUUGAUCCUGGCUCAGGAUGAACGCUGGCGGCGUGCUUAACACAUGCAAGUCGAACGAGCCUUCGGGCUAGUGGCGGACGGGUGAGUAACGCGUGAGAAUCUGCCCUCAGGAGGGGGAUAACGGCUGGAAACGGCCGCUAAUACCCCAUAUGCCGCGAGGUGAAAUGAGAAAUCGCCUGAGGAUGAGCUCGCGUCUGAUUAGCUAGUUGGUGGGGUAAGAGCCUACCAAGGCAUCGAUCAGUAGCUGGUCUGAGAGGAUGAUCAGCCACACUGGGACUGAGACACGGCCCAGACUCCUAUGGGAGGCAGCAGUGGGGAAUUUUCCGCAAUGGGCGCAAGCCUGACGGAGCAACGCCGCGUGAGGGAUGAAGGCCUCUGGGCUGUAAACCUCUUUUCUCAAGGAAGAAGAACUGACGGUACUUGAGGAAUAAGCCACGGCUAACUCCGUGCCAGCAGCCGCGGUAAUACGGGAGUGGCAAGCGUUAUCCGGAAUUAUUGGGCGUAAAGCGUCCGCAGGCGGUCUUGAAAGUCUGUUGUUAAAGCGUGGAGCUCAACUCCAUUUCAGCAAUGGAAACUAGAAGACUAGAGUGUGGUAGGGGCAGAGGGAAUUCCCGGUGUAGCGGUGAAAUGCGUAGAUAUCGGGAAGAACACCAGUGGCGAAGGCGCUCUGCUGGGCCAUAACUGACGCUCAUGGACGAAAGCCAGGGGAGCGAAAGGGAUUAGAUACCCCUGUAGUCCUGGCCGUAAACGAUGAACACUAGGUGUCGGGGGAAUCGACCCCCUCGGUGUCGUAGCCAACGCGUUAAGUGUUCCGCCUGGGGAGUACGCACGCAAGUGUGAAACUCAAAGGAAUUGACGGGGGCCCGCACAAGCGGUGGAGUAUGUGGUUUAAUUCGAUGCAACGCGAAGAACCUUACCAGGGUUUGACAUCCUGCGAAUCUUUUGGAACAGAAGAGUGCCUUCGGGAGCGCAGAGACAGGUGGUGCAUGGCUGUCGUCAGCUCGUGUCGUGAGAUGUUGGGUUAAGUCCCGCAACGAGCGCAACCCACGUCUUUAGUUGCCAGCAUUGAGUUGGGCACUCUAGAGAGACCGCCGGUGAUAAACCGGAGGAAGGUGUGGAUGACGUUAAGUCAUCAUGCCCCUUACAUCCUGGGCUACACACGUACUACAAUGCUACGGACAGAGGGCAGCAAACUCGCGAGAGCUAGCAAAUCCCAUAAACCGUGGCUCAGUUCAGAUCGUAGGCUGCAACUCGCCUACGUGAA